CUAUCUUGCGACUCAUGCAUGGCACGUCUAUAAGUCAAGCUGGAAUCCUCUAAAAUAAGUCACAUGGGAAAAAAUUCUGAUCUUAUUCUAGACGAAGAAUGAAAAGCCAGGAAGCUACAUAACCCAAGGUUUAAUGAAAAAAAGUUAAAUUCGUUUAUCAGGAAAAACAGCAUUCAUGUAUUAUUUACAAAAAUUGAGGCUGAUCUCCAAGCUCUACUGUGGAAAGAGUUCAUCAAGUUCCUAGAUUGAAGAAAGCUAAUUAAAAAGUCAUUAAAAUGACAAAAAUCGAGGACACCUGUGCGUUUUGAAAUAUCUCAUUUUGUAUCAAAUACUUUGGCAGUUCUGGAUUGAUAACCAAGUUUAUAUUUCAGCAAACAGGGGACCUCAAGAGCAUAACUUAAUCUCAGAGUUGUUCACCUCCGUGCAA
RNAcentral lists this long non-coding RNA (427 nucleotides) under Pan troglodytes (chimpanzee). Its description in RNAcentral is "lincRNA". Lineage: Eukaryota; Metazoa; Chordata; Mammalia; Primates; Hominidae. The record is from RNAcentral.